This is a non-coding RNA of Xyrichtys novacula (pearly razorfish), 514 nucleotides long. NCBI's taxonomy places the organism in Eukaryota, Metazoa, Chordata, Actinopteri, Labriformes, Labridae. The record is from the annotation of a GenBank genome assembly.
UCUCGUGCAUCAAACGCAGACGAGCCAACGCAGACGGACGAGCUGCUGCCGAAACGGGGGGCAACGUCGGUUGUGUGGUCGUGGUUUGGUUUUGAAAGGAGCGACACGGAGCAGACCGCUGUAGUUUUAUUCUGAGUCAGCACAUACAUGUAAAUCUAUAUCGAUAUACUCUGAUCUAUAUCUGAUCUGAUGAGCGCGUUUGGACACUCCACCUGACCGAAUUAACACAGCUGAAACUGCAUUAAAUUAAAUAUCCAGUAAACAGUCACACAUGAUGAAGUUAACAAGAUAUUUAAUUCGUCUCCCCGCUUAUCCUCCUUCUUCCUCGCGCAGCUUGAUAGGUGUUAUGCCGUAGAAUGCACCCCUGCAUCCCAUCCACUCAUUAGCUUCUUAAAGUGGAAAACAAAUUAUCUCAUAUUUAAAAAAACACGAGUAUUGGAUCAUGACAACAUGUCAAAUGGAGCAGCCAACUUUCGUUCUGUUUUUAGGUUUUUAAAAAAAGCACAUAGAGAGG